GCGGUAUUCUACGAUAAGUAUUUCCAUGACUUUAUUUGAGAACAGAAGCAAAUGGAGUUCCUGAAAUUAAAGUAAGGGAAUAUGAGGGUGGCAGAAUAUGCAGAAAAGUUUAUAGAGCUAGCUCGGUUCGCGCCCAACUUAGUAACAGAUGGAAACCUAAGAGCCAAAAAGUUUUAGAGAGGCCUGCAUAAGGAGAUCUUGGAUAAAAU
RNAcentral lists this long non-coding RNA (209 nucleotides) under Carica papaya (papaya). Its description in RNAcentral is "long non-coding RNA (CPAP_LNC000927)". The record is from RNAcentral. Lineage: Eukaryota; Viridiplantae; Streptophyta; Magnoliopsida; Brassicales; Caricaceae.